AGAGUUUGAUCAUGGCUCAGGAUGAACGCUGGCGGCGUGCCUAACACAUGCAAGUCGAGCGAUUCUCUUCGGAGAAGAGCGGCGGACAGGUGAGUAACGCGUGGGUAACCUGCCCUGUACACAUGGAUAACAUACCGAAAGGUAUGCUAAUACGAGAUAAUAUGCUUUUAUCGCAUGGUAGAAGUAUCAAAGCUUUUGCGGUACAGGAUGGACCCGCGUCUGAUUAGCUAGUUGGUAAGGUAACGGCUUACCAAGGCGACGAUCAGUAGCCGACCUGAGAGGGUGAUCGGCCACAUUGGAACUGAGACACGGUCCAAACUCCUACGGGAGGCAGCAGUGGGGAAUAUUGCACAAUGGGCGAAAGCCUGAUGCAGCAACGCCGCGUGAGCGAUGAAGGCCUUCGGGUCGUAAAGCUCUGUCCUCAAGGAAGAUAAUGACGGUACUUGAGGAGGAAGCCCCGGCUAACUACGUGCCAGCAGCCGCGGUAAUACGUAGGGGGCUAGCGUUAUCCGGAAUUACUGGGCGUAAAGGGUGCGUAGGUGGUUUCUUAAGUCAGAGGUGAAAGGCUACGGCUCAACCGUAGUAAGCCUUUGAAACUGGGAAACUUGAGUGCAGGAGAGGAGAGUGGAAUUCCUAGUGUAGCGGUGAAAUGCGUAGAUAUUAGGAGGAACACCAGUUGCGAAGGCGGCUCUCUGGACUGUAACUGACACUGAGGCACGAAAGCGUGGGGAGCAAACAGGAUUAGAUACCCUGGUAGUCCACGCCGUAAACGAUGAGUACUAGCUGUCGGAGGUUACCCCCUUCGGUGGCGCAGCUAACGCAUUAAGUACUCCGCCUGGGAAGUACGCUCGCAAGAGUGAAACUCAAAGGAAUUGACGG
This 879-nucleotide ribosomal RNA is filed under the name uncultured bacterium. RNAcentral describes it as "bacterial SSU rRNA". It matches the Rfam family "Bacterial small subunit ribosomal RNA", at positions 8 to 916 of the family's 1533-position model. The record is from RNAcentral.